RNAcentral lists this transfer RNA (70 nucleotides) under Citrobacter freundii. RNAcentral describes it as "tRNA-Asn". It matches the Rfam family "tRNA". Rfam says of the family: Transfer RNA (tRNA) molecules are approximately 80 nucleotides in length. Lineage: Bacteria; Pseudomonadati; Pseudomonadota; Gammaproteobacteria; Enterobacterales; Enterobacteriaceae. The record is from RNAcentral. RNAcentral also lists the same sequence under 31 other names.
CCUCUGUAGUUCAGUCGGUAGAACGGCGGACUGUUAAUCCGUAUGUCACUGGUUCGAGUCCAGUCAGAGG